GAGCUUCAUGGACACUACAAGGCCGAGGGGCUUGUAGUGCGCGUCUCUCCUAGGCCCGAGGUUUCGGUAUAAGGCCGACGAUGCUGUUCGGUAUACGGGCCAAUGUUGCUACUCAGUAUAGGGGAACAAAUAUUAUACUUUGGCUUUGGGUUCAGCCAUACGGUCGGAUGUUGCUUGUUGCCUUGUUUUCAGACGAUGCGUGUUGCUAGGCUUUCGGACGGUGCUUGUGGAUGUACACGAUGAAGGGCGACAUCGUGCUACAAGGAAUAUCGAUGCUCGAUGAUCGGGCUAGAUACUUGAAAGACCCUCGAUAAGAACACUUGAGAUCCUUUAUAAGGGGGAAAGACCCUUGA
This 353-nucleotide unclassified non-coding RNA is filed under the name Hevea brasiliensis (rubber tree). Lineage: Eukaryota; Viridiplantae; Streptophyta; Magnoliopsida; Malpighiales; Euphorbiaceae. The record is from RNAcentral.